UACAGAGGGGGCAAGCGUUGUUCGGAAUUACUGGGCGUAAAGGGCGCGUAGGCGGUCGUGACAAGUCACUUGUGAAAUCUCCGGGCUUAACUCGGAACGGUCAAGUGAUACUGUCGGACUAGAGUACAGAAGGGGCAACUGGAAUUCUCGGUGUAGCGGUGAAAUGCGUAGAUAUCGAGAGGAACACCUGCGGCGAAGGCGGGUUGCUGGGCUGAUACUGACGCUGAGGCGCGAAAGCCAGGGGAGCAAACGGG
Molecule: ribosomal RNA, 254 nt
Filed under: uncultured bacterium
Lineage: Bacteria
Description: partial 16S ribosomal RNA
Rfam family: Bacterial small subunit ribosomal RNA
Source: RNAcentral